GUACACGCUGUGACUAGCAUAUCAAUAAGCGGAGGAAAAGAAACUAACAAGGAUUCCCCUAGUAACGGCGAGUGAAGCGGGAAGAGCUCAAAUUUGAAAUCUUAAAGGGUUUCCCUUUACGAAUUGUAGUUUAAAGAAGUGUUUUCUGUUGAGGUUUUGGUAAAAGUUCUUUGGAAUAGGACAUCAUAGAGGGUGAGAAUCCCGUAUUUGACCCUUACUUUCAACUUUGUGAUACACUUUCAAAGAGUCGGAUUGUUUGGGAAUGCAGGUCCAAAAUGGGUGGUAAAUUUCAUCUAAAGCUAAAUAUUGGCGAGAGACCGAUAGCGAACAAGUACCGUGAGGGAAAGAUGAAAAGAACUUUGAAAAGAGAGUUAAACAGUACGUGAAAUUGUCAAAAGGGAAGCGUUUGACACCAGUGUUGUUUUUCUGAAAAUCAAUUAAAGAACUGUUUAUGCUAAGCUGUUUAGACUUUAUCAGCUAAUCUGUUUAGUUUUGAGCUUUUCUUUAAUGCACUUUUCAGUUAACAAGUCAACAUCAAUUUCUUUUGCUGUAAAAAAGGCUUGAGGAAGGUGGCUUGAGAUUCGUCUUAAGUGUUUAUAGCCUCUUGCCUAUGCAGUCGGAGAGAUUGAGGUCUGCAGCGUAGAUCCUUCGGGGCUAAAUGCAUUUGUGCUAAGUUAUAAGCAUUUUAUAGACAACUUGUUGACUAUGAUUUGUCUUGUAGCUUACUCGCUUAUGUUAUUUUACCUACGCUUAGGAUGUUGACGCGCGUGUGUGCGUG
RNAcentral lists this ribosomal RNA (778 nucleotides) under uncultured Neocallimastigales. Its description in RNAcentral is "partial large subunit ribosomal RNA". It matches the Rfam family "Eukaryotic large subunit ribosomal RNA", at positions 22 to 639 of the family's 3401-position model. Lineage: Eukaryota; Fungi; Neocallimastigomycota; Neocallimastigomycetes; Neocallimastigales. The record is from RNAcentral.